UACAGAGGUCCCGAGCGUUGUUCGGUUUCACUGGGCGUAAAGGGUGCGUAGGUGGCGAGGUAAGUCGGAUGUGAAAGCUCGGAGCUCAACUCCGAAAUGGCAUUGGAAACUACCUUGCUCGAGGGUUGGAGGGGGGACUGGAAUUCUCGGUGUAGCAGUGAAAUGCGUAGAUAUCGAGAGGAACACCAGUGGCGAAGGCGAGUCCCUGGACAACUCCUGACACUGAGGCACGAAAGCUAGGGGAGCAAACAGG
RNAcentral lists this ribosomal RNA (253 nucleotides) under uncultured bacterium. RNAcentral describes it as "partial 16S ribosomal RNA". It matches the Rfam family "Bacterial small subunit ribosomal RNA", at positions 524 to 776 of the family's 1533-position model. The record is from RNAcentral.